GAUGAAGAACGUAGCGAAAUGCGAUAAGUAGUGUGAAUUGCAGAAUUCAGUGAAUCAUCGAAUCUUUGAACGCACAUUGCGCCCCUUGGUAUCCCGAGGGGCAUGCCUGUUCGAGCGUCAUUUCACCACUCAAGCCUGGCUUGGUGUUGGGCGACGUCCCCUUUGGGGACGCGCCUCGAAACGCUCGGCGGCGUGGCACCGGCUUUAAGCGUAGCAGAAUCUUUCGCUUUGGAAGUCGGGGCCCCGUCUGCCGGAAGACCUACUCGCAAGGUUGACCUCGGAUCAGGCAGGGAUACCCGCUGAACUUAAGCAUAUCAAUAAGCGAAGGA
Molecule: unclassified non-coding RNA, 329 nt
Filed under: soil metagenome
Description: partial contains 5.8S ribosomal RNA, internal transcribed spacer 2, and large subunit ribosomal RNA
Rfam family: 5.8S ribosomal RNA (bases 1-120)
Source: RNAcentral